UACGAAGGGUGCAAGCGUUGCUCGGAAUUAUUGGGCGUAAAGGGUAGGUAGGUGGUAAUAAAAAGUCUGGGGGUGAAAUCCCUGAGCUCAACUCAGGACUGCCUUGGAAACUUUAUUACUAGAGUGCUGGAGAGGUUCGCAGAAUUCCCGGUGUAGCGGUGAAAUGCGUAGAGAUCGGGAGGAAUACCAGAGGCGAAGGCGGCGAACUGGACAGCAACUGACACUCAACUACGAAAGCGUGGGUAGCAAACAGGG
RNAcentral lists this ribosomal RNA (255 nucleotides) under uncultured bacterium. RNAcentral describes it as "partial 16S ribosomal RNA". It matches the Rfam family "Bacterial small subunit ribosomal RNA", at positions 524 to 777 of the family's 1533-position model. The record is from RNAcentral.